This 454-nucleotide ribosomal RNA is filed under the name uncultured bacterium. RNAcentral's name for it is "partial 16S ribosomal RNA". It matches the Rfam family "Bacterial small subunit ribosomal RNA", at positions 28 to 507 of the family's 1533-position model. The record is from RNAcentral.
GAUGAACGCUGACAGAAUGCUUAACACAUGCAAGUCAACUUGAACUUCGGUUUGGGUGGCGGACGGGUGAGUAACGCGUAAAGAACUUGCCUCACAGAUAGGGACAACAUUUGGAAACGAAUGCUAAUACCUGAUAUUAUGAUUAUAUGGCAUCGUAUAAUUAUGAAAGCUAUAUGCGCUGUGAGAGAGCUUUGCGUCCCAUUAGCUAGUUGGAGAGGUAACGGCUCACCAAGGCGAUGAUGGGUAGCCGGCCUGAGAGGGUGAUCGGCCACAAGGGGACUGAGACACGGCCCUUACUCCUACGGGAGGCAGCAGUGGGGAACAUUGGACAAUGGACCAAGAGUCUGAUCCAGCAAUUCUGUGUGCACGAUGAAGUUUUUCGGAAUGUAAAGUGCUUUCAGUUGGGAAGAAAAAAAUGACGGUACCAACAGAAGAAGUGACGGCUAAAUACGUG